UAGUAUCACUUUUCUAUUAACAGGUGCCCGUGUCUCUGGCCAUGUCGAGUAUGAACAGCGGAGGAGGUCACCACCAAUUCCAGCAGCAGCAGCAGCAACAGCAUCAGCAGCACCAGCAGCACCAACCACAGCAGCAGCAGCAGCAACAGGCCGUCCAUAUCCAUACCCAUGCCCGUGGCCCAUCUUCCAUGAUGUGUGCUGCACCGACACAACCCCAUCACACGCACCAUCUCAGUGGUACCCAUGUGCAGUCCCCGCCUCACCAGAUGGGAGGAGCCAGCGGGGGUAGCUACAGCAACGUCCCACGCCUCCACCAUUGCAACGUUCACUCCUUCCUUUGUUCCAACCCGCCUCUCCAUCAUCAGUACCAGAUGAAUGGAGGAUGCCUUGGUCCCCAGCACCACUAUGCCCCCAUGGUGCCUCCUGGUCAUCAUGCAGCUGGCCCUCUUCUGACACCUGCAGGGCCACCCCAAUUAAUGGCUGCCACUCCCCAGCCCCCCCACACCCACACCUCUAUGUAUGGACAGGCACCCAUGGGAGUGGCUCCUCCUCAGGCCGUCCCCACCCACCUCACAGCUGUUCCCGGACAACUGUCUGCAGCGCCGCAGAGUCUGGGAGUCAGUGUAGCUCCUCAGCUUCCCCCUCAACACCACCAUCACACCCACCAGCAACCCACACCUCCUUUGGUAACGCCUUUCCCUGCCCACACUCACCUUCAUCAACUCCAUCAUUUGCAUGCAAGCAGCGGAAGUGGAGGUGGUGCACGAGGUGCUAGCGUUGACAUGCUUGGUCGGGGGCUAUAUCGUGGUCCAGGUCAAGGUCAUGUGCUAGGUCGUAUGAGAGGACCAAGAGGUAGCAGCGGAAGCAGUUUGGGAGGCACAAGACGUAGUAGUUCUAGCUGGCGAGGAAACACCAUGCCUCCAGCUGCCCCUCCACCCCCACCACCCCCACCCCUCCCUAGUGCUGCUGCAGCAGCAGCCACAUACCCUGGCAUUCUCUUACAUUUCUUGGCAAUGUUGUCACAUCCAUCGCUACACCAAUACAGCGUGGUAGACCCAGUGCCUGCGGAAGCUCCAGACACAGAGAACUAUGAGGCCCUACUACAUCUGGCAGAAAGACUAGGCGAGGCCAAACCUAGAGGCCUUAUGAAGACCGUGAUUGACCAGCUCCCGUCCUAUAGGUAUACUGGGGAGAAGUCCGACACAAAACAGACAACAUGUGUAAUAUGCAUGUGUGAUUUCGAACUCCGGCAGAUGUUACGUGUAUUACCAUGCCUGCAUGAGUUUCAUACCAAGUGUGUUGAUAAGUGGCUCAAGACUGUGGUCAGUACCAUGCAGUUGAGUCCCUUCACUGUGGUUGGUGCCGCGCAGUUGGUACCCGUGACUGUGUUCGGUGCCGAGCGGUUGGUACCCUUGACUGUGCCCCGAGCUAACCAGUGCGUGUGUCUUGCAUGAGCAGGAGGGUGGCGUGCCUUGUGCCGUAUACCACUGCUGGCUGCUUGCAUGCUUGCAGUAUCAUGAUGAUGGCCUUUUUGGUGCCUGCAGUCAAACCGUACUUGCCCGAUCUGCCGUGGAGAUGCCAGCGAGUUUCUUAAAGAGACCACCAGUU
Molecule: unclassified non-coding RNA, 1608 nt
Filed under: Homarus americanus (American lobster)
Lineage: Eukaryota; Metazoa; Arthropoda; Malacostraca; Decapoda; Nephropidae
Description: rING finger protein 44-like, transcript variant X7
Source: RNAcentral